UACGUAGGUGGCAAGCGUUGUCCGGAUUUACUGGGCGUAAAGAGCGCGCAGGCGGUCGUGCAAGUCGCGUGUGAAAGCCCCCGGCUCAACUGGGGAGGGUCACGCGAUACUGCUCGACUUGAAGGCAGGAGAGGGAAGUGGAAUUCCCGGUGUAGUGGUGAAAUGCGUAGAUAUUCGCAAGAACACCAGUGGCGAAGGCGGCUCACUGGCCCGGUACUGACGCUGAGGUGCGAAAGCGUGGGGAGCAAACAGG
Molecule: ribosomal RNA, 253 nt
Filed under: uncultured bacterium
Lineage: Bacteria
Description: partial 16S ribosomal RNA
Rfam family: Bacterial small subunit ribosomal RNA
Source: RNAcentral